UCCCUGAUGGCUCAGUUGGUAAAAAACCUGCCUGCAACGCAGGAGACCUGGGUUCAAUCCCUGGGUGGGGAA
Non-coding RNA from Bos taurus (domestic cattle), 72 nucleotides. NCBI's taxonomy places the organism in Eukaryota, Metazoa, Chordata, Mammalia, Artiodactyla, Bovidae. The record is from Rfam.